RNAcentral lists this ribosomal RNA (524 nucleotides) under uncultured bacterium. RNAcentral's name for it is "bacterial LSU rRNA". It matches the Rfam family "Bacterial large subunit ribosomal RNA", at positions 889 to 1417 of the family's 2925-position model. The record is from RNAcentral.
AUCACCAACGGGGGUAAAGCACUGUUAUGGCUAGGGGGUCAUCGCGACUUACCAAACCAUUGCAAACUCAGAAUACCGUUGAGUGCGAGCUUGGGAGACAGACAUCGGGUGCUAACGUCCGGUGUCAAGAGGGAAACAACCCAGACCGCCGAUUAAGGUCCCGAAGACAUAGUUAAGUGGGAAACGAGGUGGGAAGGCUUAGACAGCCAGGAGGUUGGCUUAGAAGCAGCCAUCCUUUAAAGAAAGCGUAAUAGCUCACUGGUCGAGUCGUCCUGCGCGGAAGAUGUAACGGGGCUCAAACUAUGCACCGAAAUCGCGGAUAUCCGCAAGGAUAUGGUAGGAGAGCGUUCUGUAAGCCGAUGAAGGUGUCUUGAGAAGGAUGCUGGAGGUAUCAGAAGUGCGAAUGCUGACAUGAGUAGCGAUAAAGGGAGUGAAAAGCUCCUCGCCGAAAGCCCAAGGUUCCUGCGCAACGUUCAUCGGCGCAGGGUGAGUCGGCCCUAAGGCGAGGCUGAAAAGCGUAGUAC